GGUGAACGCUGGCGGCGUGCCUAAUACAUGCAAGUCGAGCGAACAGACGAGGAUCUUGCUCCUCUGACGUUAGCGGCGGACGGGUGAGUAACACGUGGAUAACCUACCUAUAAGACUGGGAUAACUUCGGGAAACCGGAGCUAAUACCGGAUAAUAUAUUGAACCGCAUGGUUCAAUAGUGAAAGACGGUUUUGCUGUCACUUAUAGAUGGAUCCGCGCCGCAUUAGCUAGUUGGCAAGGUAACGGCUUACCAAGGCAACGAUGCGUAGCCGACCUGAGAGGGUGAUCGGCCACACUGGAACUGAGACACGGUCCAGACUCCUACGGGAGGCAGCAGUAGGGAAUCUUCCGCAAUGGGCGAAAGCCUGACGGAGCAACGCCGCGUGAGUGAUGAAGGUCUUCGGAUCGUAAAACUCUGUUAUUAGGGAAGAACAAAUGUGUAAGUAACUAUGCACGUCUUGACGGUACCUAAUCAGAAAGCCACGGCUAACUACGUG
RNAcentral lists this ribosomal RNA (497 nucleotides) under uncultured bacterium. RNAcentral's name for it is "partial 16S ribosomal RNA". It matches the Rfam family "Bacterial small subunit ribosomal RNA", at positions 28 to 507 of the family's 1533-position model. The record is from RNAcentral.